UGGGACCUUCGGGGCCCUAUAACCAUCUCGGCGUCGCUAUCUAGAUGUCGGGGACAAGCAAAACGGAAGACAGAGA
This 76-nucleotide non-coding RNA is filed under the name unclassified sequences. RNAcentral's name for it is "L2-Alphaproteobacteria ribosomal protein leader". It matches the Rfam family "L2-Alphaproteobacteria ribosomal protein leader". The record is from RNAcentral.